RNAcentral lists this ribosomal RNA (447 nucleotides) under uncultured bacterium. Its description in RNAcentral is "partial 16S ribosomal RNA". It matches the Rfam family "Bacterial small subunit ribosomal RNA", at positions 331 to 795 of the family's 1533-position model. The record is from RNAcentral.
CCAGACUCCUACGGGAGGCAGCAGUGGGGAAUAUUGCACAAUGGGGGAAACCCUGAUGCAGCGACGCCGCGUGAGCGAUGAAGUAUUUCGGUAUGUAAAGCUCUAUCAGCAGGGAAGAAAAUGACGGUACCUGACUAAGAAGCCCCGGCUAACUACGUGCCAGCAGCCGCGGUAAUACGUAGGGGGCAAGCGUUAUCCGGAUUUACUGGGUGUAAAGGGAGCGUAGACGGCGGUGCAAGCCAGAUGUGAAAGCCCGGGGCUCAACCCCGGGACUGCAUUUGGAACUGUGCUGCUAGAGUGUCGGAGAGGCAGGCGGAAUUCCUAGUGUAGCGGUGAAAUGCGUAGAUAUCAGGAGGAACACCGGUGGCGAAGGCGGCCUGCUGGACUGCAACUGACGUUGAGGCCCGAAAGCGUGGGGAGCAAACAGGAUUAGAUACCCUAGUACAA